UGCCACAGCCAUAUCACUCUGCAGCCCAAGACUGGUUGCCCACUGAAGCUAAGCAGGGCUGAGCCUGGUCAGUACCUGGAUGGGAGACCUCCUGGGAAAACUAGGUUGCUGUUGCUG
Molecule: ribosomal RNA, 117 nt
Filed under: Sinocyclocheilus anshuiensis
Lineage: Eukaryota; Metazoa; Chordata; Actinopteri; Cypriniformes; Cyprinidae
Source: RNAcentral